This 199-nucleotide unclassified non-coding RNA is filed under the name Laminaria rodriguezii. Its description in RNAcentral is "sequence contains 18S rRNA gene, ITS1". The record is from RNAcentral. Lineage: Eukaryota; Phaeophyceae; Laminariales; Laminariaceae.
UGCGGAAGGAUCAUUACCGAAAGCGGGUUCGUUCAAACCCCCCCGCUCUACAAAUUGUCUGACACUCGCCCCCAGGAGAUGUGGGGGCGUUUGUUUACCCCGAGAAAGGAUUCGUUUAUGCGAAGUUGGGCGAGGGGCGCCUCGCCGAGGGUGAAAGCUCUCGAACCAAAGCGCACCCCACACACUUAAACCCCAUCAA